Molecule: ribosomal RNA, 388 nt
Filed under: Escherichia coli
Lineage: Bacteria; Pseudomonadati; Pseudomonadota; Gammaproteobacteria; Enterobacterales; Enterobacteriaceae
Description: partial 23S ribosomal RNA
Rfam family: Bacterial large subunit ribosomal RNA
Source: RNAcentral
GUUCUCCCCGAAAGCUAUUUAGGUAGCGCCUCGUGAAUUCAUCUCCGGGGGUAGAGCACUGUUUCGGCAAGGGGGUCAUCCCGACUUACCAACCCGAUGCAAACUGCGAAUACCGGAGAAUGUUAUCACGGGAGACACACGGCGGGUGCUAACGUCCGUCGUGAAGAGGGAAACAACCCAGACCGCCAGCUAAGGUCCCAAAGUCAUGGUUAAGUGGGAAACGAUGUGGGAAGGCCCAGACAGCCAGGAUGUUGGCUUAGAAGCAGCCAUCAUUUAAAGAAAGCGUAAUAGCUCACUGGUCGAGUCGGCCUGCGCGGAAGAUGUAACGGGGCUAAACCAUGCACCGAAGCUGCGGCAGCGACACUAUGUGUUGUUGGGUAGGGGAGCG